Molecule: non-coding RNA, 117 nt
Filed under: Homo sapiens (human)
Lineage: Eukaryota; Metazoa; Chordata; Mammalia; Primates; Hominidae
Source: Rfam by way of RNAcentral
GCCAGGUGUGGUGGCUCACACCUGUAAUCCCAGCACUUUGGGAGGCCGAGGCGGGUGGAUCACCUGAGGUCAGGAGUUCGAGACCAGCCUGACCAACAUGGUGAAACCCCAUCUCUA